UGGAGACUAGACUGCCUUUGCAGGACUAACAAAUUAGCCACAAGAUUAGAAAUUAUGGUUUAGGAGUAAUGCGGCUGGAGGCUGCAAGAUUCUGAGCCUUCCCAAAUUGCUCCUGGGGAUAACAUCACUAUAGUUAAACCUAAGAUCAGUGCUUGAGAUAUUCAGCAGACCCUGCGCUGGAUGGAUCAGCUGGCAUCACCCAGAUCG
This 207-nucleotide long non-coding RNA is filed under the name Homo sapiens (human). RNAcentral's name for it is "non-protein coding lnc-COIL-4:1". The record is from RNAcentral. Lineage: Eukaryota; Metazoa; Chordata; Mammalia; Primates; Hominidae.